This is a non-coding RNA of Doryrhamphus excisus (bluestripe pipefish), 2724 nucleotides long. NCBI's taxonomy places the organism in Eukaryota, Metazoa, Chordata, Actinopteri, Syngnathiformes, Syngnathidae. The record is from RefSeq and is a predicted model, not a curated record.
UUUUACAACCCGAUACCAGAUAGUCAAAUGUACUUGGGUAAUAGCAGUAAACCUGGCCCCCUUGUGGCCAUUCUGCGCAUGCGUCAGAGGAUCGUUAGCCCUCAGACUUCCCAAGGCAAAGUUCGAGGGCGCCAUGUUUUCACGGGAAGACGGUGGAAGACGACAUGGACGGUCGUUUAACAAGGAAAUGCAUCGAUGUGGAGCCAUAUGGCGUCUAAGAAGCAGAGUCCUCUCUGUGUGUAAAACAGCAGCUUGCACCAACUAAGAUGCCUGACUGAGAAGAAUAUUGAAGGACGUUGACGCUCAAGAAUUUGGUCUCAAAAGCUUAGACAAGGUAAGAUCACAGUACAGCUGUUGGAUGACACCAACAUGGUUUAGUUAUUCAUUCAUUCAUUCAUUUUCUAUGCCGCUUAUCCUCACUACGGUGGGGGUAUGCUGGAGCCUAUCCCAGCUGUCUUCGGGCGAGAGGCGGUGUACACCCUGGACUGGUGGCCAGCCAAUCACAGGGUGCAUAUAGACAAACAACCAUUCACACUCACAUUCAUACCUAUGGACAAUUUGAGGUGGCCAAUUAACCUAGCAUGUUUUUGGAACGUGGGAGGAAACCGGAGUACCUGGAGAAAACCCACGCAUGCACGGAGAGAACAUGCAAACUCCACAGAGAUGCAACGGAGAAUCGAACCCAGGUCUUUGGUUUAGUUAUGAAAUGUUUAAUUUAUUUCACAGGUACCUCAACCUGUGGAUGUGUUGUGUUUUUGUGCACCGUGAUCAAGUAUGUCCUUCCUUUUGAUGACCACAUAUAUAAACGGCCCCUCUGCCAAAUGUUUUCAUUCAAUGUGGCUGGCAAGUAUAACUGAUUGUCUGAUGUGUGGAAGCAGUACAUGACACGUGUUGAACCAUUUCACUGUUAUUGCAAGUUAAGUUACAGUUCAGCACAUUUUAUUGUGUCUUUUAAUUGUAAUUAUUUGCAUAAUUGUGAAUGUAAAACAAAUCUCCAAUGAUUUAUAAUGUUUUCUAUGGUAUUUCUAACCACACUCAUCACUGCUGGAAGUAAAUACAGUGUUACUACAAAUGUAGUAAAGGUGUUCUUGUUUGAAAGAAUGUUUUGCAGAAGAUGUGUUAAGAUAAUUUCAUUUAAUUCAAAGAAGGCCAUCUUAAAAAAAUACAACACAAUCAUAUUAGAAAAGUGGUGUAGGUGGUAGCUUAAAUCUCAUGUAAAUAUUACUUAUAAAUUGCUCCAAAUUAAGUAAGGGAAAACUAGUUAAACAAUCCUGAAAAGUGAGUAUAUGUAUAUGGAUUUUUAAGUAGAUUCAAAGGUAGUUUUGAGUAAAAUUUACUAGCAAACAGAGUCCCUUUUGUGUCUGUGACAGUAAAUCUCAAGUAAUGUUAAAGUGUAUUUUGAAUUUAAAAAAUAAUCCUCGCUGAGAAGUAAAUUUUACUUGAAUAUUUCCCAAGUAAAAGUUACUUAGGAAUUGUGCGUGCAAUUUGUUAGCUAGCUUUUCUCAAGUAAAUGGCACUCCAAUUUUUUUUCAGUGGCAGGUCAACCGGAAAAGGCCAACUUUUACCGGUGCUAAGACCGGCAUAAGGACCAUAUAGCAUUGGGAGGCACAUAUAGCGUACGGCUAAUGAUGGCAGUGGAAAUAGACAUGGAUGUCACACCGACAAAGUGAAUUAUUUCAUAAUCUGACUCAUUUCGUGCAUGGAACCUUAUUGACUGACCCUGUGUUUACUUGGUAUCGUUUUGAUAUUAAAAUGUGCAGUAUCUCCCAACCCCACUGUGCAUGACUGGCAACCAGUCCCUCCAGAUUGGAGUCAAUAUGGAAUUGACUCAUUUUAUUUUCCAUGAUUUCCAGUGUAACAAAUAGUUUGGGAAUCCAAACUAAUGAAGGUAGACAAGCGUAGCCGCACUAAACGUGUUAGUGACUUUACAUGUUACAUGCUCGUCCUUAAACCUUCGUUUGAUCACCCCCCCCAUGGGCAGGAGCCAUGGGGGCAAAGGACUGAUACAGGAAACUGUCAGAUGAGUUGACUGCCUUGUCAUCGUUUGAUGCUGCAUGAGCCAGCAGUAAUGGCGAAGACAUGAAGAAACAUUUCUCUGUAUUUAUCGCCAUCUCCUGGAAUGUUUUGCAAUUACACAAACUCAACCGCACACGCUUGACGCUGUCAUUUCACCAUUUGUGGCCCGAGGGCCAUUUAAGGCCCACGCAUGAUUUAUGUAUUGGCCUGUGGCACAUUCUACAGAAAUAAUUGAACAGGAACAGUAAAAAUACAAUGAAAAUCAGUAGUAAUCCCACAUUAAGGGGCCAAAAAUGUUGGAAUAUUAGGCAGAACAAACACACGUUUUUUUUUAAUAGAUUAGGUUGUGCCAAAAGUUAUACUGUUACGAGAAUAAUGUCAAAAUAUUCUGGAGAAAAAAAAUGUUCUGAGAAAAAAAAGUCUGAGAAGAAAGUCGAAAUAGUUGGAAACGUAAAGCAGAAAUGGAAAAAAGAAGCUGUAAUUUCAUGGGAACAAAGUCAAAAUAUAAAGGGGAAAAAAGCCGCUAAUAUCGGACACCCCGAAUUAUUCCAAGAAGGACAUUUACCAUCAUUUCUGAAGAAGAAAGUGGACAUAUUUAGAAAGAAACAGCAAUAAUGGGGGUGGAAAGAGCAUAUAAUAGAAUAACUUUUUCACCGAUAUGACAGAUGAGAUCUUAGCAUAUCUCCAUACUGUGUCAAAGUGGCCCUC